GCCAGUUAUCCUUCCUUUCAGAACAGUCCAAACUUGGGACAAAUUUGACGAAUGAAGAUCUGUUUCAACACUUAUCCGGCGGACUUAACACAUACAUAGAAAGCCUCCCUCCUUUUGGAGGAGGCUGCAUAGCAAAAGUCGAGUUUAUGCAUUGGGUUUGUUUUGCAAGCAAUUGGUAAUGUAAGUUGUCCAAAACCAAGUACGAACAAGGAUGAUGCAAUGUGCUUAUACAUUUAUGUGUUAAUAUAUGGUUGGUGCUCGUUAACUGGUGUUAAUGUAUGGCCAUUAGAAUGAUUUGUGGGUUCAUGUCUUCCCCUUCGAAUGCCUCUGCAGAACUUGCUUUGAAAUCUGUCAUGUGAUUUUAUGGCCAUUUCAUGAAUUGAGGUCAAUAUUUUUUAUCAGGUAUUGGAAACUGAAAAAAGAAAAAACUUCUAUCCUUCCCGUAACCAGUCAUCGAUAAUAUCUUCCUUGCAUGGAUUGAUGUCAUUUAGAGAGCCCAUUGGAGAUGCUCUAAUGUCCUAAAACAAGAUUACAAGACCAAGAUUAUGUUUAUAACAUCGUUUUUUGCAGAAUUUACUUACCGCUGCCUGAAAUUCGAUUUCCAGAUUUUACAGAUUUACUUGCCAAUUUGAAAUGAAGCAUACCCUGCACCUGGCAACCUCUCUUUAUUCUUUUUAAGGUAACAACAUUACUUACCAAAUCUGCAGAUAACAUCCCAUAUCUGAUUUCAGAACCCUAAUAUCAGUCCCUGAUUUCAAAUGAGCCAAUUGUUUUACAACCCUCCUUUUGAUCUAUAAAACUGACCAUAUUGAGACUCAGAAAUGUGCACAAACUUCUCCCCUCCUCUUUGGUCCUCUCAUUACUGAUUAAAUUUUAGGGUUCCACUGAGACAGAAAUAGGGAGAGCAAAUGGUAAAAGUUUGUGAGCCGUGCGAAAGCCAAGAUGAGGAGGAUGAUGGAGCCGUUACUGAGCCUGACCUAGCUAAGGUUGGAAAACAUCGAAUCCUUGAUUUACCAGAGAGGUAUACCUCAGUAAAUAUACCCUCUUUAGGCUUCAUGAUCAUUGUUAGUUACCCUAUUUUUUUAGCAUGGUUCCAACUUAUCAUAAUUUACUCUCAUAUGUAUGUUUGAAGUCCUGUUUCUGUUUUAUGAAACCUUAGCCUCUGAGCACAGAAGCUUUCUUAGGAUUCGGAGAAGAAAAAUCUAAUGCUGAUGCCAACUGUGGUUAAUUGGACUGCCUAUAUAUCUGAUUCCCAAAAACAGUCCCAAUUGAGUCUAUUUUUUGUAGCGUCCUGAUGCUUUUAAUAUGCUAGAAGUAUCU
Molecule: long non-coding RNA, 1320 nt
Organism: Prunus dulcis (almond)
Lineage: Eukaryota; Viridiplantae; Streptophyta; Magnoliopsida; Rosales; Rosaceae
Exons: 3
Source: RefSeq, a predicted model, not a curated record